Molecule: long non-coding RNA, 503 nt
Organism: Zingiber officinale
Lineage: Eukaryota; Viridiplantae; Streptophyta; Magnoliopsida; Zingiberales; Zingiberaceae
Exons: 5
Source: RefSeq, a predicted model, not a curated record
UCCAUCCGCGGCCUCUCCCUCACGGUGACAUUGGACGUCGUCUCUGAUUGUGCCCGCCAGCAGAUCCACUCUGGUUAGUCCCUUACCUUUGGGGAUAGUGUUUGAUCUCCUUGCUUAGUCCGACAUGAAGAUUUCUACCAGUGAUUGGAGACUAAAUUGGGUAGGGUUGCUUCGAUCACAAACUAACAGUGGAGUGCAAUGGAAUUGGGUUUGGUAUCAAUAGGAUUGACCUGUUGGAUGUGAGAGUAAUCCAUGGAAACGGGAUCUCACAGCAUUGUGGAAAAUUGAUAUCGAUGGGAAGGUGAAUGGAGCAGUUGAGACAUGCUUUGGGUCUUUUCAUCAUUAUUCACAGCAUAUAAAUUUCUCACACCCUUGAUCAAAGUCAGUUAUAUCUUUGCUUCAAGUUCCAAAUUUGUUAUGUAGUUGUGCACUAAAUUGGAUUACUUUGCAACUUAUAUACCUUUGCUCCGUGGUUUUAAUUGUAAUUCUAUAUAGAAAGUUUA